Molecule: long non-coding RNA, 577 nt
Filed under: Fukomys damarensis (Damara mole-rat)
Lineage: Eukaryota; Metazoa; Chordata; Mammalia; Rodentia; Bathyergidae
Description: lncRNA (ENSFDAG00000032559.1)
Source: RNAcentral
CCCCCCCCCCCGGCCCCUCUCCCCCCAAACUUCCCGCCAAGAUGGCGUCCCCGGAGCUGGCCUGCCGCGCGCCCACGUGAUCGCCCUCCCCGCGCUCUCAGCCAAUAGGAAGUGAGGAGGCGGCUCGCGCCGAGCCCGGGCCUCUCAGCUUUGCUACCUUAGGGUUGCGGAGGGUAGGAAGCGCAAGAAGGCCUGGGGACGGAGCUGGGGGACCCCGAGAAUGUCCCGAACGCAGCACCUCGUCUAAAGCGGCGGGCACCGAAGCGGUUCUGAGGAAAAAUCAAUCUCAAAAUACUAGUAUAAGAAGAAGCUUGUUCCUCCAUCCUCCAUGAAAAUAAAUGUGUUUAAUAAACACCAACAAGAUAGAGAAUAGAUAGAGAACUGGUCAAGUCCAAGAUCCUUGGGAUGGAGAAAUUGGAAAAUGCAGGUACCAAAAAAAAGUAAGAGAAAAUUACUUGCAUGUGUGUGUCAUCAAUUUAUGAUGGGUUAUGUCCUGAUGAGGCCAUUGUAAGUUGGCAAUAUGAGUUACAAGGAUUCAAUACUUCUAAGCUACCAAACAUUAUGACUUAGCCUCACC